GCAUGGGUUUGGAUUUAUGGCAGGCCUGUCCACUGGGCCUUUCAAAGUGCCCAUGCCAGAGCAAACUGUGGCUCUGAACCAUUGCCUGGCCUGUGCCUGUAGGCUGCUGAUACUGAAGCAGGUUGCUCAGUG
RNAcentral lists this small nucleolar RNA (132 nucleotides) under Microcebus murinus (gray mouse lemur). RNAcentral's name for it is "Small nucleolar RNA SNORA42/SNORA80 family (ENSMICG00000020516.3)". It matches the Rfam family "Small nucleolar RNA SNORA42/SNORA80 family". Rfam says of the family: The members of this family belong to the H/ACA class of snoRNAs that guide the sites of modification of uridines to pseudouridines. Human ACA42 (SNORA42) was cloned from HeLa cells by immunoprecipitation with anti-GAR1 antibody. Its is predicted to guide the pseudouridylation of residues U109 and U572 of 18S rRNA. The record is from Rfam by way of RNAcentral. Lineage: Eukaryota; Metazoa; Chordata; Mammalia; Primates; Cheirogaleidae.